Molecule: ribosomal RNA, 292 nt
Filed under: uncultured bacterium
Lineage: Bacteria
Also listed under: 1 other name
Description: partial 16S ribosomal RNA
Source: RNAcentral
GGACUACUGGGGUAUCUAAUCCCGUUUGCUCCCCUGGCCUUCGUGUCUCAGUGUCAGGAACUGUCCAGAGACCCGCCUUCGCCACUGGUCUUCCUUACGAUAUCUACGCAUUUCACUGCUACACCGUAAAUUCCAGUCUCCUCUCCAGUCCUCAAGCACGCCAGUAUCGAAUGCAGUUUCGGAGUUAAGCUCCGAAAUUUCACACCCGACUUAGCGCGCCACCUACACACCCUUUACGCCCAAUGAAUCCGAACAACGCUUGAGACCUCUGUAUUACCGCGGCUGCUGGCAC